UACGUAGGGUGCGAGCGUUAAUCGGAAUUACUGGGCGUAAAGCGUACGCAGGCGGCUUUGCAAGACAGGUGUGAAAUCCCCGGGCCUAACCUGGGAACUGCAUUUGUGACUGCAUGGCUAGAGUUUGUCAGAGGGGGGUGGAAUUCCACGUGUAGCAGUGAAAUGCGUAGAUAUGUGGAGGAACACCGAUGGCGAAGGCAGCCCCCUGGGAAGUGACUGACGCUCAGGUACGAAAGCGUGGGGAGCAAACAGG
RNAcentral lists this ribosomal RNA (253 nucleotides) under uncultured bacterium. RNAcentral's name for it is "partial 16S ribosomal RNA". It matches the Rfam family "Bacterial small subunit ribosomal RNA", at positions 524 to 776 of the family's 1533-position model. The record is from RNAcentral.